UUGACCUCGAAUCAGGUAGGACUACCCGCU
RNAcentral lists this ribosomal RNA (30 nucleotides) under Calonectria spathiphylli. Its description in RNAcentral is "partial 28S ribosomal RNA". The record is from RNAcentral. RNAcentral also lists the same sequence under 2 other names. Lineage: Eukaryota; Fungi; Ascomycota; Sordariomycetes; Hypocreales; Nectriaceae.